Molecule: long non-coding RNA, 299 nt
Filed under: Elaeis guineensis (African oil palm)
Lineage: Eukaryota; Viridiplantae; Streptophyta; Magnoliopsida; Arecales; Arecaceae
Description: long non-coding RNA (EGUI_LNC043242)
Source: RNAcentral
ACCGUAGAAACUUGGAUGGAGUCUGGUUACUGUAGAAAUCUUAUUGUCGGAGAAGCUCGGAUAUUGACGAAGUACGAAAGAAGUUCGGAGUAGGGUCGUCCGCAAUCGAAAGAAGUCCGAAAGGGAUUCAGAGAAUAGUUGAUUACUAUAGAAGGUCGGCUGAUAGUGAGGCCCAGAGAGCCUUUGGAGCGGCCCGAUAGAUGAAUGCAGAAGCUCAUUAUCAGAGAAGUUCGAACGGUCGAGGGGGUUCAGAGAGAUGCCACACAAGGUCGGAAGCCGAAAAAGUCCUGGAAGGGUCG